GCAAACAAUCAAUUUCUCUCUGCUUAUUUUUUUGAUAAAAAGAUUUUCGAUUGGAGCGCGUUAUAUUUCCUUUCCCUUUCCCGCCAGGCAGAGGAGAGGAGGAGGAGCGGGGUGAAAGAAAUGGAGUUGACGUUAAGCGACAACGCUCUGAAAACCUUCGCGCGAUGCAUCACCUGUCUCGCGCGUAUCGGAAAUGAGCUCUCCAUUCAAGCUUCUCCCUCUCAGCUUCUUCUGCACACUAUCAAUUCUUCACGAUCUGCAUAUCAAUCCAUCACUUUCAAACCUGGAUUCUUCGACGUCUACACCGUUUCCACUAACCCCGUGCAAUGUAGUGUGCUUCUCAAGGCCGUUUGUGCUGUUCUUAGGACACCGAUUGCAAAUAUUGAUCACUUGACCGUGAAACUGCCAGAUCCAGAUGCUUCCAAAGUUCAGUGGAUUUUGGACUGCUACAGUGGUAUGAAGAAAACCUACUGGAUUACUUGCAAUGUAGAACCUGACAUACAGAACUUGUCUCUUGAUAGGCAAAAAUUUCCAAGCAACUUUGUCGUGAGGCCUCGAGAUAUGAACAGGUUACUUUCUAAUUUUCAGUCAUCUCUUCAAGAGAUCACUGUUAUUGCAACAGAACCUGCUUCACUACCUCCUGAUUCAGCAAAUGACAUUGGUGGAAAGGCUGUUGAACUUCGAAGUUAUAUUGACCCAACCAAAGACAAUGACUCGUCGCUACACACCCAGCUGUGGAUAGAUCCUAAAGAGGAAUUUUUGCAGUAUGUUCAUACUGGAGAUCCGAUAGAUGUGACUUUCAGUGUAAAGGAACUAAAGGCAUUUCUUUCAUUUUGUGAGGGCUGUGAAGUUGACAUCCAUUUUCAUUUUGAGAAAGCUGGCGAACCUAUCCUUAUGGCACCUAAAUUUGGUUUGGAAGAUGGAUCUCACUCAAAUUUUGAUGCGACCCUUGUACUGGCGACCAUGUUAACAUCUCAACUACAUGAAGGCGCUGCCUCAGAACCUCUGGUGGUAGAUGCCAGAACACAUGCUCAAACUGAAGAAAGAAAUGGAUCUCAUGCGGAGGAAGAAAAUUGCAGAACAAAUACAUCAGAGCUUCAAUCUGACCACACCCGUGUUUGGUCAGACCUCUCAGCAACUGCAGUUAAAAAUAUGAGUGGUUUGGAAGAAAGGCCGGCACAAGAACAAACAGUUUUGAAUGAUAAUGAGCAAAGAGAAAUUCAAAGGAUUAGUACAAUACGAAUUUCAAGAAAAACAUCCGCUGCGGGAAAUAAUCCCACUGGUUCCAACAUCUGCCGACCAACUGAAAAAGAUAGUGUGCAAGCGCCUCAAGAUAUGUUGCAAGAUAAUAAUCAAGCGUUUUCACAGCAUCAUCCCAGUAAUUGGGUAGAUGCUGAGGAGGAGGAUGAAGAUGAUGCGAAUGAGAAUGAGCAGUACAUUCAGGCAACACCACCAUAUUAUGAAGAUUAGAACUAGAACUAUACUGCAAUGGUUCUUCUUUAUCUUGUUAAACCAGUGAAACAGAUCAUACUUUUCCUGGUCAAUAACAUGCCUAAUUUUGAAGAGUAGCUUACAGGGGGAAUAAUGCCAAUGAAUGAACACAAACAACAUUGAAAUAUAUAUACUAUUUUUGUUGACUAUUUGGAGGCAAGUGAGCUUGAACCCCUCAACAGAGCCCACCAAACUAAUCCAGAAGGUUAAGGAAGUAGGUACUUGCAUAUUAUAUUACAUUGGAGCAUGGAUUUUAUGCAAAAUUAGUUAAGGGAAUUCAACUUAAUUGUAUUGUUCAACGGUUUAUACCAAAAUUCCAUGAUUGUACAUUUGACUUUGAUUUUCUGGAUUCAAAAUUCCCUACUUUUAUGUCUCCAAUGCUCCUAGUCUCUAAAUCAUAGUUACUUGACCAAGAGCUAUUACACCCUUA
RNA transcript from Lotus japonicus, 1921 nucleotides. RefSeq lists it as uncharacterized. NCBI's taxonomy places the organism in Eukaryota, Viridiplantae, Streptophyta, Magnoliopsida, Fabales, Fabaceae. The transcript is spliced from 12 exons. The record is from RefSeq and is a predicted model, not a curated record.